This 76-nucleotide transfer RNA is filed under the name Clostridia bacterium. Its description in RNAcentral is "tRNA-Trp". It matches the Rfam family "tRNA". Rfam says of the family: Transfer RNA (tRNA) molecules are approximately 80 nucleotides in length. Their secondary structure includes four short double-helical elements and three loops (D, anti-codon, and T loops). Lineage: Bacteria; Bacillati; Bacillota; Clostridia. The record is from RNAcentral.
AUGGGUGUAGCUCAAUUGGUAGAGCAACGGUCUCCAAAACCGUGCGCUGAAGGUUCGAGUCCUUCCACCUGUGCCA